CCCGGGUCUUGUACACACCGCCCGUCACACCAUGGGAGCGGGAUGUACCAGAAGUAGGUGGGCUAACCGCAAGGGGGCCGCUUACCACGGUGCGUUUCGUGACUGGGGUG
RNAcentral lists this ribosomal RNA (110 nucleotides) under uncultured bacterium. RNAcentral's name for it is "partial 16S ribosomal RNA". It matches the Rfam family "Bacterial small subunit ribosomal RNA", at positions 1373 to 1482 of the family's 1533-position model. The record is from RNAcentral.